AUUGCUUCUUGGCCUUUUGGCUAAGAUCAAGUGUAGUAUCUGUUCUUAUCAGUUUAAUAUCUGAUAUGUCCUCUAUCCGAGGACAAUAAAAAAAAAAAAAAGAAGUCACAGCAUUAGAAAAUGUCCUUCUUUUUUCAUUUCCCUAAGAUUUGCUCAGUUCAUGUCUCAGUUUGAGGAGUUAAAAA
Molecule: small nuclear RNA, 185 nt
Organism: Onychomys torridus (southern grasshopper mouse)
Lineage: Eukaryota; Metazoa; Chordata; Mammalia; Rodentia; Cricetidae
Product: U2 spliceosomal RNA
Exons: 1
Source: RefSeq, a predicted model, not a curated record